UGGGGAAUUUUGGACAAUGGGCGAAAGCCUGAUCCAGCAAUGCCGCGUGUGUGAAGAAGGCCUUCGGGUUGUAAAGCACUUUUGUCCGGAAAGAAAUCCUUGGCUCUAAUACAGUCGGGGGAUGACGGUACCGGAAGAAUAAGCACCGGCUAACUACGUGCCAGCAGCCGCGGUAAUACGUAGGGUGCAAGCGUUAAUCGGAAUUACUGGGCGUAAAGCGUGCGCAGGCGGUUUGCUAAGACCGAUGUGAAAUCCCCGGGCUCAACCUGGGAACUGCAUUGGUGACUGGCAGGCUAGAGUAUGGCAGAGGGGGGUAGAAUUCCACGUGUAGCAGUGAAAUGCGUAGAGAUGUGGAGGAAUACCGAUGGCGAAGGCAGCCCCCUGGGCCAAUACUGACGCUCAUGCACGAAAGCGUGGGGAGCAAAACAGGAUUAGAUACCCUGGUAGUCACGCCCUAAACGAUGUCAACUAGUUGUUGGGGAUUCAUUUCCUUAGUAACGUAGCUAACGCGUGAAGUUGACCGCCUGGGGAGUACGUCGCAAGAUU
RNAcentral lists this ribosomal RNA (546 nucleotides) under uncultured bacterium. Its description in RNAcentral is "partial 16S ribosomal RNA". It matches the Rfam family "Bacterial small subunit ribosomal RNA", at positions 355 to 895 of the family's 1533-position model. The record is from RNAcentral.